Schizosaccharomyces pombe (fission yeast) is the source of this 525-nucleotide non-coding RNA. The record is from the annotation of a GenBank genome assembly. Lineage: Eukaryota; Fungi; Ascomycota; Schizosaccharomycetes; Schizosaccharomycetales; Schizosaccharomycetaceae.
AUCGCACGUGGUUUUGAAAUCAUUAUCGUUCUUUAUGUAAUUGGCCAAAAUCGAUCUACACCAUCUUGUCGAGACUCGAGCUCAGUGAUUUACGAUUUUUACAAAUCUCAGCUACUUUAUCUGCAUGGAGUAUAAAAAUUAAAGUGGAAAUAUAUUUUGAUAAAGUUGGUAUUGCUGAACUGAAUAUAUGAUUAUCUCUUUUCCAAACAUAUUCUCUCAACAUCAAACAAAAGCAUUCAGCAACUACAACAGGCAAUUCAAUCUCCCUCACCAUCACUAAAUAGUAAAAGUUGGUAAAACCAUUGCAACCCGCUCGCCCACCACUGUUGAUAGUUUCUCUUCCUUGAACAUCCGUUUUAACGCUCUUCUAAACGCUUUCUCUGCAAUCAAUUCUCCUUUUUGUUCGUUUUGGUUUAGCACUAUUUAAUAUCCUAAUUGCUCUCGUUUGAUCCUUGAUUGUCAUUUACCGUGUUGGUUCUUAUCCCCUAUCUAUCGUCGAUUAUUUCUUACAAAAUUGAACACUUA